UACGGAGGGUGCAAACGUUGCUCGGAAUUAUUGGGCGUAAAGCGCGUGUGGGCGGCAAGAUAAGUUGAGUGUGAAAGCCCUGGGCUUAACCCAGGAAGUGCGCUCAAAACUGUCUAGCUAGAGUACGGGAGAGGGUAGCGGAAUUCCCGGUGUAGAGGUGAAAUUCGUAGAUAUCGGGAGGAACACCAGUGGCGAAGGCGGCUACCUGGACCGAUACUGACGCUGAGACGCGAAAGCGUGGGUAGCAAACAGGAUUAGAUACCCUGGUA
Molecule: ribosomal RNA, 269 nt
Filed under: uncultured prokaryote
Description: partial 16S ribosomal RNA
Rfam family: Bacterial small subunit ribosomal RNA
Source: RNAcentral